This 305-nucleotide ribosomal RNA is filed under the name uncultured bacterium. Its description in RNAcentral is "partial 16S ribosomal RNA". It matches the Rfam family "Bacterial small subunit ribosomal RNA", at positions 508 to 807 of the family's 1533-position model. The record is from RNAcentral.
ACAGCAGUCGCCGCGGUAAUACAGAGGGUGCAAGCGUUAAUCGGAAUUACUGGGCGUAAAGCGCGCGUAGGUGGUUUGUUAAGUUGGAUGUGAAAUCCCCGGGCUCAACCUGGGAACUGCAUUCAAAACUGGCAAGCUAGAGUAUGGUAGAGGGUGGUGGAAUUUCCUGUGUAGCGGUGAAAUGCGUAGAUAUAGGAAGGAACACCAGUGGCGAAGGCGACCACCUGGACUGAUACUGACACUGAGGUGCGAAAGCGUGGGGAGCAAACAGGAUUAGAUACCCCUGUAGUCCCUGUCUCUUAUAC